RNAcentral lists this ribosomal RNA (484 nucleotides) under uncultured bacterium. RNAcentral describes it as "partial 16S ribosomal RNA". It matches the Rfam family "Bacterial small subunit ribosomal RNA", at positions 30 to 507 of the family's 1533-position model. The record is from RNAcentral.
AUUGAACGCUGGCGGCAGGCCUAACACAUGCAAGUCGAGCGGAUGAAGGGAGCUUGCUCCUGGAUUCAGCGGCGGACGGGUGAGUAAUGCCUAGGAAUCUGCCUGGUAGUGGGGGAUAACGUCCGGAAACGGGCGCUAAUACCGCAUACGUCCUGAGGGAGAAAGUGGGGGAUCUUCGGACCUCACGCUAUCAGAUGAGCCUAGGUCGGAUUAGCUAGUUGGUGGGGUAAAGGCCUACCAAGGCGACGAUCCGUAACUGGUCUGAGAGGAUGAUCAGUCACACUGGAACUGAGACACGGUCCAGACUCCUACGGGAGGCAGCAGUGGGGAAUAUUGGACAAUGGGCGAAAGCCUGAUCCAGCCAUGCCGCGUGUGUGAAGAAGGUCUUCGGGUUGUAAAGCACUUUAAGUUAGGAGGAAGGGCAGUAAGUUAAUACCUUGCUGUUUUGACGUUACCAACAGAAUAAGCACCGGCUAACUUCGUG